UUCCAGACUCCUACGGGAGGCAGCAGUGGGGAAUCUUCCGCAAUGGGCGAAAGCCUGACGGAGCAACGCCGCGUGAUCGAAUGAAGGCCUUCGGGUUGUAAAGAUCUGUUGACAGGGACGAAUAAGCAAUGCGAAUAGUUUUGUGUAUGACGGUACCUGUUUAGAAAGCUCCGGCUAACUACGUGCCAGCAGCCGCGGUAAUACGUAGGGAGCAAGCGUUGUCCGGAUUUACUGGGUGUAAAGGGAGCGCAGGCGGCACGGCAAGCCUGAUGUGAAAGCCCGCGGCCCAACCGCGGGACUGCAUUGGGAACUACCGGGCUGGAGUGCCGGAGAGGUAGGCGGAAUUCCUAGUGUAGCGGUGAAAUGCGUAGAUACUAGGAGGAACACCAGUGGCGAAGGCGGCCUACUGGACGGUGACUGACGCUGAGGCUCGAAAGCGUGGGGAGCAAACAGGAUUAGAUACCCUGGUAG
RNAcentral lists this ribosomal RNA (471 nucleotides) under uncultured bacterium. RNAcentral's name for it is "bacterial SSU rRNA". It matches the Rfam family "Bacterial small subunit ribosomal RNA", at positions 329 to 793 of the family's 1533-position model. The record is from RNAcentral.